CCUACGGGCGGCAGCAGUGGGGAAUUUUGGACAAUGGGGGCAACCCUGAUCCAGCCAUUCCGCGUGAGUGAAGAAGGCCUUCGGGUUGUAAAGCUCUUUCGGCCGGGAAGAAAUCGCAUCUCCUAAUACGGGGUGUGGAUGACGGUACCGGAAGAAGAAGCACCGGCUAACUACGUGCCAGCAGCCGCGGUAAUACGUAGGGUGCGUGCGUUAAUCGGAAUUACUGGGGGUAAAGCGCGCGCAGGCAGGUGAAAGCCCCUGGCUUAACCUUGGAACUGCGUUUGUGACUGGUGGGCUUGAGUGCGGCAGAGGGGGGUGGAAUUCCACGUGUAGCAGUGAAAUGCGUAGAGAUGUGGAGGAACACCGAUGGCGAAGGCAGCCCCCUGGGUCGACACUGACGCUCAUGCACGAAAGCGUGGGGAGCAAACAGGAUUAGAUACCCGGGUAGUC
This 450-nucleotide ribosomal RNA is filed under the name uncultured bacterium. RNAcentral's name for it is "partial 16S ribosomal RNA". It matches the Rfam family "Bacterial small subunit ribosomal RNA", at positions 338 to 795 of the family's 1533-position model. The record is from RNAcentral.